GGUUUCCGCCUUCUGCCUCUUCCGCUGGUCUGUCUGUCUGUCUGUCGCCACGCCAGGAGCACACCGUUCAGCUGCCACAGCUUCAGAGCGAGUUUUCACAUCCGGCCAGUGACAUUCGCCAUGGUUGCUCUUUCUAAAGCCAUCUUGACAAUUUUUGCAGAUGGAUUUUUCCACCUGAACAUCAGAAUCAGAUGGUCCGGUUUCAAAAACAUUUGAAACAAAAUGGAGAUUUGGUCCAGUUUUUAAAGAAAUGACACAAAGCCAAACUCGGAACCUUGUUGGGCUUCUGAAUGGAACAGAGUAAGUAUCUUAAUCCUUGCGGCUCUGGCCAACGGUGAUGAUAAAGCCUCCUUCUCGGAGAACGUGACCCUCCGUCUGCUCAGGACUUGACGGAGCUCUUCAAUGGCGUCUCAUCACUUUUAGCACAGAGAUCCUGCCUUUUCCUUUAAACUGACUUCUAAGUAUUCACGGCUGGCUCACUGAGACGGGGGAAUGGGACGUGGCAGGCCUGGGAGAGGCAGAGCAAAAGCCACCACACGUGAUGGUGGAAGGAGGGUCUGGAAAGCGCUUACUCUGGGGGGCCAGUGGCUACAGUGGUUGGCAAGCCCAGCCAGCCGAGAGUCCCAGAGCCAAUUUCAGCUUUGAGCAAAAUGUUCCACUAGACCCCUUCGAGCUCAAACUUGCUGUCCCACUGCACUUGGGGUAUCAGGAUUCAUCUGGAAUUUGCUAGGCUGGUGGCAGCAUUAAAGGGUGGGUUUCUCCCCCUGCCCCCAGCAUACCCCAUUCUUGCAGCAACUGGUAGCACUUUUAAAACUCCUGGGGCCCUUUAAGACUUAAAGGGUAAGAUGACAGCUUUGACAGGGCAACUUGAGGGCCUGAAGAGGUCUGAGGCUGAAGCUGGACGCCUUGGAUAGAACCUUUGGGUUUUCUGCAUCCUGCAGGUCUGCAGUGUUGCCUGCUUCUCACACUGAGCAUGUUCUGGAAGCAGGGGGACCCCAAUCCUUGCAGGUGGCCAGCCAUCUGAAAGAGCCCUCCCGGCUGGGGCAGAAGCACUAGCAUUUUCUUUGCUCUCACCUGUGCCUCUCAGACCUUCUCUGCUGGGCCUCCUUCCUGCCCCCACGAUCUGUCCAGCAGGCCCACAGCUGUACCCCAAAAGAUAGUGUGGGUUCAGUCUAACACGACACGAGCAUGCAAGGUUCAGGUCAGGAACGCUUGGUAACUGAGUGCAGGCCACCGACCGUUCAUUUCAGAGCUAUUUAAUGUGCAUUCUCCAUGUGCAGGACUCUGUGUGCCAGCUGCUGGCAGCUGAGCUGGGAACAAGGCAGACACAGCCCUUGUCCCCGGGAAGAUGUCAGGACACCUGAGCAAGUAAUUGCAAGACAGUGUGAAGACGCUGUAAAAGGGGAGUGCCCGGUGCCGUGUGAGCGUGCGGGGUGAGCAAUGGCACGUCUGGGGAGCCUGCUCGGAAGAAGCGAAGCUUACACUGGGGUCUAAAAGAGAUACAGGGGUUAGAUGAAGAGGGAGAGGAGAGCCCUGGGGAUUGCAGGAGAAACAUCCCCAGGCUUUGUCAACGUAAGGCCAGACAUUAAGAUGGUUGGUGACUUGAGUUUUUAUCUUUUUUCUUUUAACGCUGACACUUAGCUUUCUGUACAAACACCCGAGGGAGCCACCCCGACGAUUCGCGUAUAAACACCCAAGUGCGAGGCGGAUUUUAGCUAUCAGAUUCCACCCUAAGUGGGGACACUCCCAGACUGAAAUGGAUGCCUGUCUACACCUGGGGUGUCUACACCUGGUAGGUGGGACCUCGAGUCAUACACGAGCAAUGCUGAUUUUGUCCAGAAGGAAAGCGCAUGGCAUGUGCUGUUCUCUCGCAGGGACAUAGAAAGACCCUCCUUUCGAGAGGCUGGUCACAGCCACUGUUCUGACAAGACCCUGAAGUUCUUGGUCAAGCCCCACCAGAUCAAAGGGAUGUAUUUCUCUUGACCAAAAAAAGAAUUUUUCCUUAUCAAAAAAAGGGGUCAAAAUGGGACAACCUAGUGGAGACCGCUGCUUCUCUCCCCCCUGUUGAACCCAGGGUGUCGUCUAGUUACGGGGUCGGGAGAAGCGUGUUUUCUAAGCUGGGGAAACGCAAGGUGUGGGAGCCAUCCUGUGGAUCCCCGACUCUGUCCGCAUUUUCAGGAGACAGAUGUGAGUGCACUUGGAGAGUCACAACGGCUGCUCUCUGGCCCGCCAGCUCCCUGCCCCUUGGGUGUGGUCUCAGAAGGAAAAGGGAGCUGUGCCCAAAGGAACAAAGUGACCUUAAAAUGAAUCCAUGUGGAACACCGCCGGAGAAGCACAAACGACACAGAAUGUGGCGCAUCUCCUUACAAGGUAAGAGGAUGGGUCCGGGCACGCCUUGGGUGCCAGCGCCAACCCUGCAGACACUGUUGUGUGGCCUCAGGCGAGCUGCCUCAUCCCUUCACGUCUGAUCUUCAAAGUGGAGAUAAUGACCCUUGACCUCACUGGGCCCUUGGGAAGAUGAAAGGAUCAGACUUGUCAAGCAAAGUGCAAAGUGGUUCCUCAAUAAAUGCAAUUAUUGUUACCGUCAUUGUGUUUAUAUUACCUUUGGCUUAGAAAGCUGCAAAUUGGCUAAAUAACUAAACACAGUCAUGAGUCGCUUAAGGACAAGGAUACAUUCUUAGAAAUGAGUCAUUAGGUGAUUUCAUCAUGUGACCAUCACAGAGGGCACUUACACGAACUGAGAUGGUAGAGCCUACGACACACCUAGGCUGUCUGGUACUAAUCUUACGGGACCGCCAUCCUACAUGCAGUCUAUUGUUAAUGGAAACAUCGUGAUGCAGCGCAUGACUGUGUGUAAAAUGGUUUAGACUCUAUCUUAAAAAUAAUUCAUAACAAACCUCUUAAUCUCAAGUUCAUGCGCCCCAUGCCCAGCAAGCCAAACACUGAGACAUCGGUGCUUGAAGAUGGAGAAAGGUUUAUGCGAGUUGGCCAACAUGAGUAGGCGGGAGCCUGGGCUCGCUCAAAUCCGCCUCCCCAACAGCAGAAAGCAGGGGGGUUUAUAGAGCUAAGGGGCUUGGUGGGAAGAGCUUCCGGGAAACAUAGGGGUCACUCUGGCUAAGCCCCUGGGCAAUGUGACUUCUGGGCUGACGGGGCUGAUGGGGGCUGGCCAUCCAGUGACGGCAACCUCCCCAAAGGCAUUCUCUUUCUUCUGCAAAAGAAACUCACAAAUCUUCAAGACCCCUGAGUCACCCUCAAGUUAAACAGGAAGACAGCAAAUUGACAAGACUCAGCUACGUCUGUGCUGGAACAAGAUCAAAGGGCAAUUCUGUUCUUACUGAGUAUCUACAGUAACCCUCAGGUUCCCGGCUUCAUAAUCUCUAUGGAUCACUUGGCAGCAGUGCUGUAUCAGGACGCGGGAGCCCUUCGAAGGCCCCAUUUCACAUCAUACAUAUAUAGGGAAAGAUGUCUAUAUUCCUCGUUACAUUUCUGAAACAUUUGGAAAGGUUUUCUAAAACUUACAAAAUUUUGAGUCUCAUUUAACACAACUUGUUCAUUUUGUUUUUGUGAUUGUGUUUCCUAUAUUUGUGUGUACCCAUAAGGGUGGAGUUGAGUUCCAAUGGACUAAUUGACUUCAUAUCAUAUUUUAUAGACUUGUGCUAUCCAUUAGGGUAGCUAUUAGUCCCGUGUGGCUAUUAAAAUUUAAAUUAAUUAAAUUUAAAUAAAAUAGAUUGACGUC
Molecule: long non-coding RNA, 3736 nt
Filed under: Equus caballus (horse)
Lineage: Eukaryota; Metazoa; Chordata; Mammalia; Perissodactyla; Equidae
Description: lncRNA (ENSECAG00000058480.1)
Source: RNAcentral